Molecule: ribosomal RNA, 846 nt
Filed under: uncultured bacterium
Lineage: Bacteria
Description: bacterial SSU rRNA
Rfam family: Bacterial small subunit ribosomal RNA
Source: RNAcentral
ACACAUGCAAGUCGAGGGGCAGCAUCAUCAAAGCUUGCUUUGAUGGAUGGCGACCGGCGCACGGGUGAGUAACACGUAUCCAACCUGCCGACAACACUGGGAUAGCCUUUCGAAAGAAAGAUUAAUACCGGAUGGCAUAGUUUUCCCGCAUGGGAUAAUUAUUAAAGAAUUUCGGUUGCCGAUGGGGAUGCGUUCCAUUAGGCAGUUGGCGGGGUAACGGCCCACCAAACCUACGAUGGAUAGGGGUUCUGAGAGGAAGGUCCCCCACAUUGGAACUGAGACACGGUCCAAACUCCUACGGGAGGCAGCAGUGAGGAAUAUUGGUCAAUGGACGAGAGUCUGAACCAGCCAAGUAGCGUGAAGGAUGACUGCCCUAUGGGUUGUAAACUUCUUUUAUACGGGAAUAAAGUGAGCCACGUGUGGCUUUUUGUAUGUACCGUAUGAAUAAGGAUCGGCUAACUCCGUGCCAGCAGCCGCGGUAAUACGGAGGAUUCGAGCGUUAUCCGGAUUUAUUGGGUUUAAAGGGAGCGUAGGCGGGUUGUUAAGUCAGUUGUGAAAGUUUGCGGCUCAACCGUAAAAUUGCAGUUGAUACUGGCGACCUUGAGUGCAACAGAGGUAGGCGGAAUUCGUGGUGUAGCGGUGAAAUGCUUAGAUAUCACGAAGAACUCCGAUUGCGAAGGCAGCUUACUGGAUUGUAACUGACGCUGAUGCUCGAAAGUGUGGGUAUCAAACAGGAUUAGAUACCCUGGUAGUCCACACAGUAAACGAUGAAUACUCGCUGUUGGCGAUAUACAGUCAGCGGCCAAGCGAAAGCAUUAAGUAUUCCACCUGGGGAGUACGCCGGCA